Molecule: ribosomal RNA, 552 nt
Filed under: Triticum aestivum (bread wheat)
Lineage: Eukaryota; Viridiplantae; Streptophyta; Magnoliopsida; Poales; Poaceae
Description: partial small subunit ribosomal RNA
Source: RNAcentral
AUGUCAUCCGGUAGCCAUGGCAGCUCUGCCUCUUCUCGUUUCCGGAGCGGAGGUACCUCUCCCAUCCCGUACCGCGUGCACCCCAUGGACUACGAGCCUUCCGUUAACUGCUACUACGGCCGAAAGGCACCGCUCCUGACCUCUUGGACCGACGCCAAUCCCGGCCGGAGGUACCUGUGCUGUUCACGGGCGACGGGAUGUGGGUUCUGGCGCUGGUUUGACCCGAGGGCUAGCCCCUACCUUAGACAGCUACUCCUCGAUCUGCGAAGCAAGAUCGUUCGCAUGGAGGGCGAGAACGCACUACUGCACAUGUCUCUGGAGCAAGCCCUGUGCAAAGCAAGGCACCAACAGAGCUUCAGCUCGCGGCUCGUUGCGUUUCUACUGAUGAGACUUGCCGUACGCAAGAACGCGACGCGUGCCAUGAGGAGCAAGAUGGUGACGGGUGCGGCCAUCGUGGUCUGGCUGGCUACAUGGGCGGGUCUUCUCUUUUUGAUCAACUUGCUCGCGGCGCUCGUGUGUAACCCAUCGGUGUUGAAGUCCAGUUGUGUCUAG